AUUGAACGCUGGCGGCAUGCUUUACACAUGCAAGUCGAACGGUAGAGGGGGCAACCCCUUGAGAGUGGCGAACGGGUGAGUAAUGCAUCGGAACGUGCCCAGUCGUGGGGGAUAACGCAGCGAAAGCUGUGCUAAUACCGCAUACGAUCUCUGGAUGAAAGCGGGGGACCGAAAGGCCUCGCGCGAUCGGAGCGGCCGAUGUCAGAUUAGGUAGUUGGUGGGGUAAAGGCUCACCAAGCCAACGAUCUGUAGCUGGUCUGAGAGGACGACCAGCAAAACUGGGACUGAGACACGGCCCAGACUCCUACGGGAGGCAGCAGUGGGGAAUUUUGGACAAUGGGCGCAAGCCUGAUCCAGCAAUGCCGCGUGCAGGAAGAAGGCCUUCGGGUUGUAAACUGCUUUUGUACGGAACGAAAAGGUCUGGGUUAAUACCCUGGGCACAUGACGGUACCGUAAGAAUAAGCACCGGCUAACUACGUGCCAGCAGCCGCCGUAA
This 496-nucleotide ribosomal RNA is filed under the name uncultured bacterium. RNAcentral describes it as "partial 16S ribosomal RNA". It matches the Rfam family "Bacterial small subunit ribosomal RNA", at positions 29 to 523 of the family's 1533-position model. The record is from RNAcentral.